This 528-nucleotide ribosomal RNA is filed under the name Balistoides viridescens (titan triggerfish). RNAcentral's name for it is "partial 16S ribosomal RNA". It matches the Rfam family "Bacterial large subunit ribosomal RNA", at positions 1846 to 2577 of the family's 2925-position model. The record is from RNAcentral. RNAcentral also lists the same sequence under 1 other name. Lineage: Eukaryota; Metazoa; Chordata; Actinopteri; Tetraodontiformes; Balistidae.
UAAGAGGUCCCGCCUGCCCUGUGACUAUACGUUUAACGGCCGCGGUAUUUUGACCGUGCGAAGGUAGCGCAAUCACUUGUCUCUUAAAUGGGGACCUGUAUGAAUGGCAUGACGAGGGUUUAACUGUCUCCUUUUUCAAGUUAAUGAAAUUGAUCCCCCCGUGCAGAAGCGGGGAUACGAACAUAAGACGAGAAGACCCUAUGGAGCUUUAGGCAACAAGCAGACCGUACAAAAUGUCCCCUAAUUAAAGGAACAAAACAUACGAAACCUGACCCAAUGCCUUUGGUUGGGGCGACCGCGGGGAAACAAAAAACCCCCAUGUGGAAUGGGACCACACCCUCCAAACAAGAGCCCCCGCUCUAAAAAACAGAACAUCUGACCUACAAGAUCCGGAAGCCGAUCAACGGACCGAGUUACCCUAGGGAUAACAGCGCAAUCCCCUUAUAGAGCCCAUAUCGACAAGGGGGUUUACGACCUCGAUGUUGGAUCAGGAUAUCCUAAUGGUGCAGCCGCUAUUAAGGGUUCGUU